Molecule: unclassified non-coding RNA, 349 nt
Filed under: Hevea brasiliensis (rubber tree)
Lineage: Eukaryota; Viridiplantae; Streptophyta; Magnoliopsida; Malpighiales; Euphorbiaceae
Source: RNAcentral
GGUCCUUCCAAACCGAGGGCUCGAAUAAUUGCAAUUUGAACACAAGUUCAUGAUGAAAAUAACAGUUUAAGACCACCAUGGUUCUUCACCGGUUCUGAAAUCUGUUUCCACCCAAGGCACAAACAAUACUUUGCCGUCAUCGGUGAUGUCGCAGUGAGCCAAUGCCAGCGACAAUGGUGCAGGCCCCCUAACAACCUUCCCUUGAUUGUUGUAUUGCGAUCCGUGGCAGGGGCAGAGGAACUUGUUUUCAUUUUUAUUCCAUGGGACAACACAGCCAAGAUGAGUGCAAACAGCAUUGAUACCAUAGGUUGCAAGAGAUCUAUCAUUCUCCACAACAAGGUAAGUAGGA